This 870-nucleotide ribosomal RNA is filed under the name Alkalihalophilus pseudofirmus. Its description in RNAcentral is "bacterial SSU rRNA". It matches the Rfam family "Bacterial small subunit ribosomal RNA", at positions 28 to 873 of the family's 1533-position model. Lineage: Bacteria; Bacillati; Bacillota; Bacilli; Caryophanales; Bacillaceae. The record is from RNAcentral.
GACGAACGCUGGCGGCGUGCCUAAUACAUGCAAGUCGAGCGGACUGAUGGGAGCUUGCUCCCUGAGUUAGCGGCGGACGGGUGAGUAACACGUGGGCAACCUGCCUGUAAGACUGGGAUAACUCCGGGAAACCGGGGCUAAUACCGGAUAACCCGUUCCACCUCAUGGUGGAGCGGUAAAAGAUGGCCUCUGGCUAUCACUUACAGAUGGGCCCGCGGCGCAUUAGCUAGUUGGUAAGGUAACGGCUUACCAAGGCGACGAUGCGUAGCCGACCUGAGAGGGUGAUCGGCCACACUGGGACUGAGACACGGCCCAGACUCCUACGGGAGGCAGCAGUAGGGAAUCUUCCGCAAUGGACGAAAGUCUGACGGAGCAACGCCGCGUGAGUGAUGAAGGUUUUCGGAUCGUAAAGCUCUGUUGUUAGGGAAGAACAAGUGCCGUUUGAAUAAGGCGGCACCUUGACGGUACCUAACCAGAAAGCCACGGCUAACUACGUGCCAGCAGCCGCGGUAAUACGUAGGUGGCAAGCGUUGUCCGGAAUUAUUGGGCGUAAAGCGCGCGCAGGCGGUCUCUUAAGUCUGAUGUGAAAGCCCACGGCUCAACCGUGGAGGGUCAUUGGAAACUGGGAGACUUGAGUACAGAAGAGGAGAGUGGAAUUCCACGUGUAGCGGUGAAAUGCGUAGAUAUGUGGAGGAACACCAGUGGCGAAGGCGACUCUCUGGUCUGUAACUGACGCUGAGGCGCGAAAGCGUGGGGAGCAAACAGGAUUAGAUACCCUGGUAGUCCACGCCGUAAACGAUGAGUGCUAGGUGUUAGGGGUUUCGAUGCCCUUAGUGCCGAAGUUAACACAUUAAGCACUCCGCCUUUUUU